UGCAAGUCGAGCGAUGAAGCACCUUCGGGUGUGAAUUAGCGGCGAACGGGUGAGGAACACGUGAAGAAUCUGCCUUCAACUCUGGGAUAACUCCGGGAAACCGGGGCUAAUACCGGAUAUGAGCCUUGAUCGCAUGAUCGGGGCUGGAAAGUUUUUCGGUUGAAGAUGACUUCGCGGCCUAUCAGCUUGUUGGUGAGGUAAUGGCUCACCAAGGCGACGACGGGUAGCCGGCCUGAGAGGGCGACCGGCCACACUGGGACUGAGACACGGCCCAGACUCCUACGGGAGGCAGCAGUGGGGAAUAUUGGGCAAUGGAGGAAACUCUGACCCAGCGACGCCGCGUGAGGGAUGAAGGCCUUCGGGUUGUAAACCUCUUUCAGUAGGGAAGAAGCGAAAGUGACGGUACCUACAGAAGAAGCACCGGCUAACUAUGUGCCAGCAGCCGCGGUAAUACAUAGGGUGCAAGCGUUGUCCGGAAUUAUUGGGCGUAAAGAGCUCGUAGGUGGUUCGAUACGUCGGAUGUGAAAAUCAGGGGCUCAACCCCUGACCUGCAUCCGAUACGGUCGAGCUAGAGUUUGGUAGGGGAGACUGGAAUUCCUGGUGUAGCGGUGGAAUGCGCAGAUAUCAGGAGGAACACCGAUGGCGAAGGCAGGUCUCUGGGCCAAUACUGACACUGAGGAGCGAAAGCGUGGGGAGCGAACAGGAUUAGAUACCCUGGUAGUCCACGCCGUAAACGGUGGGCGCUAGUUGUGCGAACCUUCCACGGUUCGUGCGACGCAGCUAACGCAUUAAGCGCCCCGCCUGGGGAGUACGAUCGCAAGAUUAAAA
Molecule: ribosomal RNA, 828 nt
Filed under: uncultured bacterium
Lineage: Bacteria
Description: bacterial SSU rRNA
Rfam family: Bacterial small subunit ribosomal RNA
Source: RNAcentral